GGUGGCUCAGUGGUACAGGGCUUGCCUUGCAUGCAAGAAGCCCUGGGUUCGAUUCCUCAGCACCA
This 65-nucleotide transfer RNA is filed under the name Dipodomys ordii (Ord's kangaroo rat). It matches the Rfam family "tRNA". Rfam says of the family: Transfer RNA (tRNA) molecules are approximately 80 nucleotides in length. Lineage: Eukaryota; Metazoa; Chordata; Mammalia; Rodentia; Heteromyidae. The record is from Rfam by way of RNAcentral.